GACAACAUAGUACAAUGGUAGUACUUCUGCCUGUCUAGCAGAAAAUCGAGGUUCGAUUCCUCGUGUUGUCG
Capsaspora owczarzaki ATCC 30864 is the source of this 71-nucleotide transfer RNA. It matches the Rfam family "tRNA". From Rfam's summary of the family: Transfer RNA (tRNA) molecules are approximately 80 nucleotides in length. Their secondary structure includes four short double-helical elements and three loops (D, anti-codon, and T loops). Further hydrogen bonds mediate the characteristic L-shaped molecular structure. tRNAs have two regions of fundamental functional importance: the anti-codon, which is responsible for specific mRNA codon recognition, and the 3' end, to which the tRNAs corresponding amino acid is attached (by aminoacyl-tRNA synthetases). tRNAs cope with the degeneracy of the genetic code in two manners: having more than one tRNA (with a specific anti-codon) for a particular amino acid; and 'wobble' base-pairing, i.e. permitting non-standard base-pairing at the 3rd anti-codon position. The record is from Rfam. NCBI's taxonomy places the organism in Eukaryota, Filasterea, Ministeriida, Capsasporidae.